Molecule: ribosomal RNA, 174 nt
Filed under: uncultured bacterium
Lineage: Bacteria
Also listed under: 1 other name
Description: partial 16S ribosomal RNA
Rfam family: Bacterial small subunit ribosomal RNA
Source: RNAcentral
CCUAGGGGAGGCAGCAGUAGGGAAUAUUGCGCAAUGGACGAAAGUCUGACGCAGCGACGCCUCGUGAGGGACGAAGGUCUUCGGAUUGUAAACCUCUUUCAGCAGGGACGAAGCGAAAGUGACGGUACCUGCAGAAGAAGCACCGGCUAACUAUGUGCCAGCAGCCGCGGUAAU